AGUGAACGCUGGCGGUAGGCCUAACACAUGCAAGUCGAACGGCAGCACAGAGGAGCUUGCUCCUUGGGUGGCGAGUGGCGGACGGGUGAGGAAUACAUCGGAAUCUACUCUGUCGUGGGGAUAACGUAGGGAAACUUACGCUAAUACCGCAUACGACCUACGGGUGAAAGCAGGGGACCUUCGGGCCUUGCGCGAUUGAAUGAGCCGAUGUCGGAUUAGCUAGUUGGCGGGGUAAAGGCCCACCAAGGCGACGAUCCGUAGCUGGUCUGAGAGGAUGAUCAGCCACACUGGAACUGAGACACGGUCCAGACUCCUACGGGAGGCAGCAGUGGGGAAUAUUGGACAAUGGGCGCAAGCCUGAUCCAGCCAUACCGCGUGGGUGAAGAAGGCCUUCGGGUUGUAAAGCCCUUUUGUUGGGAAAGAAAUCCAGCUGGCUAAUACCUGGUUGGGAUGACGGUACCCAAAGAAUAAGCACCGGCUAACUUCGUGCCAGCAGCCGCCGCCG
This 505-nucleotide ribosomal RNA is filed under the name uncultured bacterium. RNAcentral's name for it is "partial 16S ribosomal RNA". It matches the Rfam family "Bacterial small subunit ribosomal RNA", at positions 29 to 523 of the family's 1533-position model. The record is from RNAcentral.